AGUGCAGCCCUGGUGACGCCUCCUGUGGCUCAGUCACAUAGCUGUGUGGUACGUGACUGGAGGCAUAUCACUGUCCUCGCCUGGAUCACGCCAAUGUGACCCCAACCCCACCACCCUCCCCACCCCAUGAUGUCCGAAAAAACCCAACAAAGAAAAUUGGCUGGGACCAAGGAAAAGUUCCCAGACUAUCAUCAGUGGAACAGUGCUGGUGUUGGUACUGGAGCAACCGACACCAAAAAGAAGAAAAUAAAUAAUGGCACUAACCCUGAGACAACCACUUCUGGGGGUUGCCAUUCACCUGAGGAUAAACAACAGAACCGAGCUCAGCUGAAAGAGGAAAAUAAGGCAAGCCACCAACAUCAGCAAGCCCUAAGGAGGCAGCUAGAGGCCCAGGAUCAUACCAUACGAAUCCUUAUGUGUCAGAAAACUGAACUGGAAACAGCGCUCCAUUACAGCCAGGAUAUUGCCAGGAAAUUUGAAGAAGAUUCCAAGGAUCUGGCAGGCCGCCUGCAUCAUUCCUGGCACUUUGCAGGAGAGUUACAGCGGGCUCUCUCCGCAGAGCACGAGAGGGCGGACAGGGUGAGUCCAAUCACCUACCCGGUCCCCUGGGAGCCCAGCUUCGCAGAUGGAGGAAUGAGCCUAAAGGUCCCUUCUGCAGGAUGCAGUGUCCUGCCCAAAAGACAGCAUGGGCCAUUUCUUGCUGCUUUUGUGCGUGGUUGUUAGAGGCAGGUUGGGGCUGAGUCAGCUGCUGUGGGUGAGUUGCGGGGCGCUGUGGGGAGCGAGCACUGGACACAGAGCUCGGAGGCCAAGUGCCCACCCCACCCAUACUUGGCUGUGGCCUUGGUCAAAUCCUAGGCGGAGUUGAGGGUACUUGUACCAUGAAGGUACAGAAGAGUAUCUUUAGUAUGUUACCAUUUGUGUAGAGAGAGGGAACACAUGUACAUGUACGUGUGUGUGUGUGUGUGUGUGUACGUACGUAUUAUGGUAAUAUACAUAAAACAUGUUUGUAAGGAUUCAUUAAAAACUCAGGAGAGAGGAACAGUGUUGGGGGAAGAUAUUUCCCUUCUGUACCUUCUGAGGUUUGGACUAUGCCAAUGUAUCAUUCUUUCAAAAAUCAACAAAGGAUUAAUUUCCU
This 1135-nucleotide small RNA is filed under the name Pan troglodytes (chimpanzee). RNAcentral's name for it is "retained intron". Lineage: Eukaryota; Metazoa; Chordata; Mammalia; Primates; Hominidae. The record is from RNAcentral.